This 1220-nucleotide long non-coding RNA is filed under the name Sinocyclocheilus grahami. Its description in RNAcentral is "lncRNA (ENSSGRG00000014899.1)". Lineage: Eukaryota; Metazoa; Chordata; Actinopteri; Cypriniformes; Cyprinidae. The record is from RNAcentral.
GCUCAUUAGGCAUUUGCUUGAUUCUUCUGGUGUUAAGAAGUCACAAACGACACCAUAUCAUCCUAUGGGCAACGGAAUCACAGAAAGAUUUAAUCGAACAUUGGGAAACAUGGUCAGAGCCCUUGAACCACGACCAAAGCAAGAUUGGCCUCGGAUGCUCCAUACAUUAACAUUUGUGUACAACUGCACAGUGCACGAGACUACGGAGUACCCUCCCUUCUAUCUAAUGUUCGGUCGCACCCCGAGACUACCAGUUGAUGUUGUUUUCAAGAGCGUACUAUGGAAUGAUUCGAACGACUCCCUUCCCAAGUUCUGAUGACUCUGCACCUGAUGGUGAAGGCCCAGUAGUGGCUGACAAUGAUCUGCAGACAGUUGAGUCAGGUAAUGCUCACGACUCCGCUGCAGUUGUUGAUGUUCCAUCACAAAGUGUGGUCUCUGGAAAUAUUUCUCCAGAUCACUCGGUCUGUCAGGGAAGUCCUGAAGAAAGUAAUGUCUGUAAUUCUGACCCUGAUGUUGAUGGUACAGUAGAUGGUACUGAGUUACCGGGUCGCAGGUCAAAGUUUGGCAGAUUGUUGAAACCAGUGAAUCGCCUUAUUUCUUCUAUGAAUCAACACACUUUUUUUCAAAACAGAAAGCAAAUUCAGGGAAAAUGGUCUAUGUCAGUUUGAGAUGUUUUACUGCGCGCGCUGUCGAGUGCAUUAGGAGCACAUGGUAUUCUUUGCGUUUCUGUCUCUGUAUUUUCUCAUUGCUUAUUUUCACAUGUAUAUUUAUUUUUGACAGUUAUGAGACCGGAUGAGUUGUAUUUCAUGUCUGUUUGGUGUCAUUUCAUAUAUUCCAGUUAUGAUGUACUAAUGUUCUUAUGAUGUUAUAUUUUCUAUGUUCAGAAAAACAACAGAAAAAGAAAUUGAGCUCUUAAUUAUGGAAAGACUGAUUUAGUGUUUGUUGAACUGGUAAAUCAGUCGCAUGAAAGCUGUUGAGGAGAAUGUUAUGAGACCGGAUGAGCUGUAUUUCAUGUCUGUUUGGUGUCAUUUCAUAUAUUCCAGUAAACGUUAUGAGUGAGCUCACAUGCAUGCACCGUUUUAAUCGCCAUUUUGGUCAUUUCGUGACUUAACUGAUGAUGUAUGCUUGCAGUUUCUAGUGCGGUUUAUUUAUGAAUUGAGCGUGCGCCUCAUAUUCGCGUACAGUUGAAGAGCGUGCUCCAUGAGCACAGUAAAACGGCU